GCAAGAAUUUAAUGUGCGACAACUCCCAAGAAAUUAAAUGGAACAAAAUCAUUAGCAUUAUAGUUCAUUUUGGUAAAUUUUGCACCUUGGAAUAAACUCCAGAUCGAACAACUCCAUUAUUCUCCUGCAUACCUGAAUAAUGCGAAGAAUUUUUGGCCCUGUUUGGUUUCCCUUUUUCAGCCAGAUUCCGCUGUAUGGCAGCCAAAUCGUAACCAAAGAGCGAACGGUUCCGAAUGUGAUGUGAAGGAUCAACACCUCCAAACCAGGCUAGCUACCGCUAGAGAUCAUGACACCUAAAAGAAUAAAACAAUUCCAACAGCAUCCAAAUCAAGCUAGCUAUUAAUCUCACAAAAGAUGCAUUCUCGAAAUUAGUCUUUCGUAAGGAAUCGUAUAUUAUCCAACUUCGUUACAUAGGACUUGUGCUGACGAAGCAUAUACCAAUCUCACCUCCAUUGUGAAUCUGUAAACGUGCAAAUGACAGUCGAUGCCAUCAUUCCUACAGAUGACAUCUGUGAUGUAGUGCACUGGCAGAGCCCUCUGUACUCUCCUAUCCUGGUCAUGCUCCUUGUUGUUUCUACCACCAUAUCCUUAGAAGUAGAUAAAAUCUUAUUUCUGUAUGUGCUUACGUACAACAAAUGCUCCUAAGCUAAACAAUUCAAAGAAUAAGAAUUUUGAGAAUUCUCCGUAGGGCAUAUCCAAGCAUUGUGCACAACAAAAGAUAGUGAACUGAACACCAUGUUUGGAUAGGAAGCAGAACUAAAUGCAUGAAAAAUCACAGAAAUACUAAGAGAGGCAUAGCAACCACAUGCAUAAGAAUUAACCAGAACGGCUCAUUGCUAAGAACCUGCGUAUCUAUACACACACAAAGAAUCAGAAAGAGCCCUCUAGCUUACUAUAUAGGGCAUAAAUUGCAUAUCCCAACCUCAAAUGGGUUAAUUGUCUCUCAGAGCUACUAAACAGUUAGAAGAUUCUUUGCAUCAGUUAUGAAGAUCCAUGAUUAACCCUUUCUCUUUGGAUAGAGGUUGUUUCACUAAUGCUCUUGAUCGGUUCUUUUUUCAAAGUUAGGAACAAGGUAGUACCAUGACAAAAACUAAAAGGAAACACACCAUCAUUACCACGAAAAAUAUGACGUACCACCAGAAAUUGAUCAUUGGAUUAUCGAAACAUACCAUUCCCCCUUGAUGGGUGUUCAGAGGCGUGCACAUAAGAGAAUACCACCAACAUGACCAACCUCGCCGAUUCCAACACCAAACAGCUUACUCAACCCGUACUUUG
Molecule: long non-coding RNA, 1275 nt
Filed under: Triticum aestivum (bread wheat)
Lineage: Eukaryota; Viridiplantae; Streptophyta; Magnoliopsida; Poales; Poaceae
Description: long non-coding RNA (TAES_LNC008281)
Source: RNAcentral